This 734-nucleotide ribosomal RNA is filed under the name uncultured Bacteroidales bacterium. Its description in RNAcentral is "bacterial SSU rRNA". It matches the Rfam family "Bacterial small subunit ribosomal RNA", at positions 28 to 753 of the family's 1533-position model. Lineage: Bacteria; Pseudomonadati; Bacteroidota; Bacteroidia; Bacteroidales. The record is from RNAcentral.
GAUGAACGCUAGCUACAGGCUACACAUGCAAGUCGAGGGGCAGCAUGGUCUUAGCUUGCUAAGACUGAUGGCGACCGGCGCACGGGUGAGUAACACGUAUCCAACCUGCCGUCUACUCUUGGACAGCCUUCUGAAAGGAAGAUUAAUACAAGAUGGCAUCAUGAGUCCGCAUGUUCACAUGAUUAAAGGUAUUCCGGUAGACGAUGGGGAUGCGUUCCAUUAGAUAGUAGGCGGGGUAACGGCCCACCUAGUCUUCGAUGGAUAGGGGUUCUGAGAGGAAGGUCCCCCACAUUGGAACUGAGACACGGUCCAAACUCCUACGGGAGGCAGCAGUGAGGAAUAUUGGUCAAUGGGCGAGAGCCUGAACCAGCCAAGUAGCGUGAAGGAUGACUGCCCUAUGGGUUGUAAACUUCUUUUAUAAAGGAAUAAAGUCGGGUAUGUAUACCCGUUUGCAUGUACUUUAUGAAUAAGGAUCGGCUAACUCCGUGCCAGCAGCCGCGGUAAUACGGAGGAUCCGAGCGUUAUCCGGAUUUAUUGGGUUUAAAGGGAGCGUAGAUGGAUGUUUAAGUCAGUUGUGAAAGUUUGCGGCUCAACCGUAAAAUUGCAGUUGAUACUGGAUAUCUUGAGUGCAGUUGAGGCAGGCGGAAUUCGUGGUGUAGCGGUGAAAUGCUUAGAUAUCACGAAGAACUCCGAUUGCGAAGGCAGCCUGCUAAGCUGCAACUGACAUUGAGGCU